This 209-nucleotide ribosomal RNA is filed under the name Salmonella enterica. RNAcentral's name for it is "partial 16S ribosomal RNA". It matches the Rfam family "Bacterial small subunit ribosomal RNA", at positions 1 to 216 of the family's 1533-position model. Lineage: Bacteria; Pseudomonadati; Pseudomonadota; Gammaproteobacteria; Enterobacterales; Enterobacteriaceae. The record is from RNAcentral.
AAAUUGAAGAGUUUGAUCAUGGCUCAGAUUGAACGCUGGCGGCAGGCCUAACACAUGCAAGUCGAACGGUAACAGGAAGCAGCUUGCUGCUUCGCUGACGAGUGGCGGACGGGUGAGUAAUGUCUGGGAAACUGCCUGAUGGAGGGGGAUAACUACUGGAAACGGUGGCUAAUAUCGCAUAACGUCGCAAGACCAAAGAGGGGGACCUU